This 1821-nucleotide long non-coding RNA is filed under the name Homo sapiens (human). Its description in RNAcentral is "non-protein coding lnc-GRHL2-8:4". Lineage: Eukaryota; Metazoa; Chordata; Mammalia; Primates; Hominidae. The record is from RNAcentral.
AGAUUCAGGCUGUAUUUAGUGGGGGAGGGAUCUGGCCUCAUAUCCUUCAUCUUUAUGCUGCUCCACUCCAGCUCACAGCCCCUCCAACUGGAUGGAGCUCUUCGAAGGGAGGGGCAUUUCAGAGGAGGGUCUCAGGGAUAGCCCCUUUGUGGGGCUGGGCCACCAGGUUGGGGAGAGUGGAGCUGCUGGAACUCUGGAGGGACUGGCUGAGCCAGCUUUCCCAGUGCACCCCUCUGGGAGGGCAGGCUCUCGGUGUAGGCUGCCCAUCUCCUCGCUCUCCUCUGGCACUGCUCCUAUGCCCCCUUGGUUAGCCUGGGAGCCCAUACUACCCAGACUUGGGGUCAAUAAGCAGAGGACCUGUAAGGAGUCCUUGAUGGGAUGUACAGCACUGCCCAACCCUGCACAAGAUAACCCAUGGGCUCCUGAGAGCAGAGAUUGUGACUUACUCAUCUUUGAUGUAGCCAAGUUCUAACAAACCUAAAUGUGCAGCCAUUUGUAAGAGAGGAUCAUGGAAUGAAUACGGGCAUUGAGUCAAGCAGUCUGUGUUCCACUGGCGGUGUGACCUGGGGCAGGCCAUUUCACCUCACUGAGCCUUAGUUUCCUCACCUGUAAAAUGUGAAAAAUAUCACCUUCCUUACCAGGCUUUUCUGAGGAUUUAAUGACAUCAUGUUCAGUGCCCAGUAUGGGUGGAUAAUACCCAGGAGUUUCCUCCUCUUCUCCUCCUAAGUUGACUUGAUGCCCCCCGCUGAAGAUCAUGGCUGAACUGGCUCAAUUCGGAUCCAGGACUCCUGGCUUUGUCUCUUCCCUAGUUGCCCACCACACCCAUGGACACCCUUAGGUAGUUUAUCCUUUUGGGACAACUGGAUUUAUUAGAAAAGGGUAUUCUGGGGUGGAAUAAGGCCCUUUUCAGUCCCCAUGGAGCCUUUUUGGAAGAUGAAGUUCUCAAACCCACAAGAGAAUUCAUAAGACGAGCACACCACCCACAGUUAGGUUUCCCUCUCAAGUGCUUUAUCUCCACGUGGGGCAAAUAGCUCUUUGUCUGCAUAUGUUAUUGGAGCUUUUGGAGUCCAGCCUUCAGAAGAGCUCUAAUUUUUGGAUUCAUAUCAGUUUAUUAGAGAAGCCUAGUUCUAAGGAUUAGCAAAUGGGUAGGUGCUCAGCCAGCCCAGAACAAGCAGAGCCAUGACAGAAGUUUCUGGAAUCUCACAGAGUCGGUGUCUUCAUGGACUCAGGGGGCCUAAAUCCAAUAGCCUGGAUUUGUCACUUUCCCUUAUUCCCUUAUCAAACUCUUCCCUUUUGGACAUCAGAGAAGGAAAGUACUUCCUGUAAGGGGGCAAUUUGCAAAGCUUCAUGGAAGUGGCAUUUGAGUGUGGCCUUAAAGGAUGUGUAGGAUUGGGAACCAUAGAUAUUUAGAGGAAGGCAUUCCUGGCAGAAGGAACAGCAGCAAAACACAGAAGUGGAAAUUAGUAGCAGCAUUAAUGGAGAAUAAUUUGGGGAAUAAGAUAUACAAAUGGAAUAAUAAAAAUAGCAUUAAUUAAACAUUGUGGGAGUCAUUCUGUAAGAUGGCCCCUGGUGAUCUCCGCCUCCUGUUCUUCAUGCCUUAUGUAACCGCUCUCCUUGAGUGUGGUCUGGAAUUACUGACUCACUUUCAAUGCACAGAAUGUAUCAGAAGUAAUGGGAUAUUCCUUCUGAGAAUAGAUUAUAAAAAAAGAGUGUGGCUUCCUUCCUGGCAUUUUCGCUUGCUCUCUCUUUAAUUGUGUGCUCCAAACAAAGCCAGCUGCCAUGUUGUGAGGAAGCCCUGUGUGGAGGACCACAUGGUGAGGA